AUUGAACGCUGGCGGCAGGCCUAACACAUGCAAGUCGAGCGGAUGAAGGGAGCUUGCUUCUGGAUUCAGCGGCGGACGGGUGAGUAAUGCCUAGGAAUCUGCCUGGUAGUGGGGGAUAACGUCCGGAAACGGGCGCUAAUACCGCAUAAGUCCUGAGGGAGAAAGUGGGGGAUCUUCGGACCUCACGCUAUCAGAUGAGCCUAGGUCGGAUUAGCUAGUUGGUGGGGUAAAGGCCUACCAAGGCGACGAUCCGUAACUGGUCUGAGAGGAUGAUCAGUCACACUGGAACUGAGACACGGUCCAGACUCCUACGGGAGGCAGCAGUGGGGAAUAUUGGACAAUGGGCGAAAGCCUGAUCCAGCCAUGCCGCGUGUGUGAAGAAGGUCUUCGGAUUGUAAAGCACUUUAAGUUGGGAGGAAGGGCAGUAAGUUAAUACCUUGCUGUUUUGACGUUACCAACAGAAUAAGCACCGGCUAACUUCGUG
This 484-nucleotide ribosomal RNA is filed under the name uncultured bacterium. RNAcentral's name for it is "partial 16S ribosomal RNA". It matches the Rfam family "Bacterial small subunit ribosomal RNA", at positions 30 to 507 of the family's 1533-position model. The record is from RNAcentral.